This 550-nucleotide ribosomal RNA is filed under the name Alfalfa witches'-broom phytoplasma. Its description in RNAcentral is "bacterial SSU rRNA". It matches the Rfam family "Bacterial small subunit ribosomal RNA", at positions 249 to 796 of the family's 1533-position model. Lineage: Bacteria; Bacillati; Mycoplasmatota; Mollicutes; Acholeplasmatales; Acholeplasmataceae. The record is from RNAcentral.
UUGGUUGGGUAAUGGCCUACCAAGACGAUGAUGUGUAGCUGGACUGAGAGGUUGAACAGCCACAUUGGGACUGAGACACGGCCCAAACUCCUACGGGAGGCAGCAGUAGGGAAUUUUCGGCAAUGGAGGAAACUCUGACCGAGCAACGCCGCGUGAAUGACGAAGUACUUCGGUAUGUAAAGUUCUUUUAUCAAGGAAGAAAAGCAAAUGGCGAACCAUUUGUUUGCCGGUACUUGAUGAAUAAGCCCCGGCUAAUUAUGUGCCAGCAGCCGCGGUAAGACAUAAGGGGCAAGUGUUAUCCGGAAUUAUUGGGCGUAAAGGGUGCGUAGGCGGUCUAGUAAGUCAGUGGUGUAAUGGCAACGCUUAACGUUGUCCGGCUAUUGAAACUGCUAAACUUGAGUUAGAUAGAGGCGAGUGGAAUUCCAUGUGUAGCGGUAAAAUGCGUAAAUAUAUGGAGGAACACCACAGGCGUAGGCGGCUCGCUGGGUCUUAACUGACGCUGAGGCACCAAAGCGUGGCGAGCCAACAGGAAUAGAUACCCUGGUAGUCC